RNAcentral lists this ribosomal RNA (444 nucleotides) under Microbacterium sp. R-45659. Its description in RNAcentral is "bacterial SSU rRNA". It matches the Rfam family "Bacterial small subunit ribosomal RNA", at positions 24 to 482 of the family's 1533-position model. Lineage: Bacteria; Bacillati; Actinomycetota; Actinomycetes; Micrococcales; Microbacteriaceae. The record is from RNAcentral.
UCAGGAUGAACGCUGGCGGCGUGCUUAACACAUGCAAGUCGAACGGUGAAGGAGAGCUUGCUCUCUGGAUCAGUGGCGAACGGGUGAGUAACACGUGAGCAAUCUGCCCCUGACUCUGGGAUAAGCGCUGGAAACGGCGUCUAAUACCGGAUACGAGCUGCGAAGGCAUCUUCAGCAGCUGGAAAGAACUUCGGUCAGGGAUGAGCUCGCGGCCUAUCAGCUAGUUGGUGAGGUAAUGGCUCACCAAGGCGUCGACGGGUAGCCGGCCUGAGAGGGUGACCGGCCACACUGGGACUGAGACACGGCCCAGACUCCUACGGGAGGCAGCAGUGGGGAAUAUUGCACAAUGGGCGCAAGCCUGAUGCAGCAACGCCGCGUGAGGGACGACGGCCUUCGGGUUGUAAACCUCUUUUAGCAAGGAAGAAGCGAAAGUGACGGUACUGC